RNAcentral lists this ribosomal RNA (540 nucleotides) under Saccharomonospora saliphila. RNAcentral describes it as "bacterial SSU rRNA". It matches the Rfam family "Bacterial small subunit ribosomal RNA", at positions 90 to 640 of the family's 1533-position model. Lineage: Bacteria; Bacillati; Actinomycetota; Actinomycetes; Pseudonocardiales; Pseudonocardiaceae. The record is from RNAcentral.
GAUGAGUGGCGAACGGGUGAGUAACACGUGGGUAAUCUGCCCUGUACUCUGGGAUAAGCCCUGGAAACGGGGUCUAAUACCGGAUAUGACAUGUCUCCGCAUGGGGGUGUGUGGAAAGCUCCGGCGGUACAGGUUGAGCCCGCGGCCUAUCAGCUUGUUGGUGGGGUGAUGGCCUACCAAGGCGACGACGGGUAGCCGGCCUGAGAGGGUGACCGGCCACACUGGGACUGAGACACGGCCCAGACUCCUACGGGAGGCAGCAGUGGGGAAUAUUGCACAAUGGGCGCAAGCCUGAUGCAGCGACGCCGCGUGGGGGAUGACGGCCUUCGGGUUGUAAACCUCUUUCGCUAGGGACGAAGCCUUUCGGGGUGACGGUACCUGGAGAAGAAGCACCGGCUAACUACGUGCCAGCAGCCGCGGUAAUACGUAGGGUGCGAGCGUUGUCCGGAAUUAUUGGGCGUAAAGAGCUCGUAGGCGGUGUGUCGCGUCUGCCGUGAAAACCUGCGGCUUAACCGUGGGCGUGCGGUGGAUACGGGCAUC